UGCGUAGGCGGGUCUUUAAGUCAGGGGUGAAAUCCUGGAGCUCAACUCCAGAACUGCCUUUGAUACUGAAGAUCUUGAGUUCGGGAGAGGUGAGUGGAACUGCGAGUGUAGAGGUGAAAUUCGCAGAUAUUCGCAAGAACACCAGUGGCGAAGGCGGCUCACUGGCCCGAUACUGACGCUGAGGCACGAAAGCGUGGGGAGCAAACA
Molecule: ribosomal RNA, 207 nt
Filed under: uncultured bacterium
Lineage: Bacteria
Description: partial 16S ribosomal RNA
Rfam family: Bacterial small subunit ribosomal RNA
Source: RNAcentral